RNAcentral lists this ribosomal RNA (431 nucleotides) under uncultured bacterium. Its description in RNAcentral is "partial 16S ribosomal RNA". It matches the Rfam family "Bacterial small subunit ribosomal RNA", at positions 29 to 507 of the family's 1533-position model. The record is from RNAcentral.
AACGAACGCUGGCGGCAGGCUUAACACAUGCCAGUCGAACGCACCGCAAGGGGAGUGGCUGACGGGUGAGUAACGCGUGGGAACAUACCCGUUUCUACGGAAUAGCUCAGGGAAACUGGAAUUAAUACCGUAUACGCCCUACGGGGGAAAGAUUUAUCGGGGAAGGAUUGGCCCGCGUUGGAUUAGCUAGUUGGUGGGGUAAAGGCCUACCAAGGCGACGAUCCAUAGCUGGUCUGAGUGGAUGAUCAGCCACAUUGGGACUGAGACACGGCCCAAACUCCUACGGGAGGCAGCAGUGGGGAAUAUUGGACAAUGGGCGCAAGCCUGAUCCAGCCAUGCCGCGUGAGUGAUGAAGGCCUUAGGGUUGUAAAGCUCUUUCACCGAUGAAGAUAAUGACGGUAGUCGGAGAAGAAGCCCCGGCUAACUUCGUG